CCGUAGUUCUGAAAUUUAUGCAAGGAGAUCCACUCCCAUAGCUCUAAAUGGAAAGCAUGAAUUUUGCUUUCAAUCAGCUACUGAUUUUCAGAUUAAGCAGUGAAUGUGCCCACUCAUCAUUGGUGCUGGCAGCAAUUUUCCACUUGUGGAGACAUCUGGAAAAGGAAAAUCAGAUGCAGAGGACCCAGAACAGGGCUCCCCUGAGCACUUUCAGGGACUUCCUGAGGAACCUGAAACACCACCACCUGGAGCCCCUCCUAAUGGUGAAAACCUAGAAGGUGAAUCUCAGCUAAGUCCACCCCCACAAGAUGGUGAACCUCAGCAAGGACCCCCCAGACAAGGUGAUGGACCUCGGCAGAGGCCACAUCCACAAGGUGAUGGACCUUGGCAGAGACUACGUCCACAAGGUGAUGUGCCUCAGCAGAGACCACGUCCACGAGAUGGUGAACCUCCGCAGAGACCACCCCCACAAAAGCAACAUUGUCAUCACUAUCCUCCCCUAUCUUCUCCUGAAAGACAUCACAGACCACCACCCCCAAGACGUGGACCACACAGAUCUCCCCAAGGCCCACCAACCCAGUAAUCUGGAGUUCAAUGACAG
RNAcentral lists this long non-coding RNA (601 nucleotides) under Capra hircus (goat). RNAcentral's name for it is "lncRNA (ENSCHIG00000001647.1)". Lineage: Eukaryota; Metazoa; Chordata; Mammalia; Artiodactyla; Bovidae. The record is from RNAcentral.